RNAcentral lists this ribosomal RNA (253 nucleotides) under uncultured bacterium. RNAcentral's name for it is "partial 16S ribosomal RNA". It matches the Rfam family "Bacterial small subunit ribosomal RNA", at positions 524 to 776 of the family's 1533-position model. The record is from RNAcentral.
UACGUAGGGGGCAAGCGUUGUCCGGAAUCAUUGGGCGUAAAGAGCGUGUAGGCGGCUUGGUAAGUCCGCUGUGAAAGUCCAGGGCUCAACCCUGGAAAGCCGGUGGAAACUGUCAAGCUUGAGUCCGGAAGAGGCGAGUGGAAUUUCCGGUGUAGCGGUGAAAUGCGUAGAUAUCGGGAAGAACACCCGUGGCGAAGGCGGCUCUCUGGGACGGUACUGACGCUGAGACGCGAAAGCGUGGGGAGCGAACAGG